RNAcentral lists this ribosomal RNA (614 nucleotides) under uncultured Vibrio sp. RNAcentral describes it as "bacterial SSU rRNA". It matches the Rfam family "Bacterial small subunit ribosomal RNA", at positions 62 to 655 of the family's 1533-position model. The record is from RNAcentral. Lineage: Bacteria; Pseudomonadati; Pseudomonadota; Gammaproteobacteria; Vibrionales; Vibrionaceae.
UCGAGCGGAAACGAGUUAACUGAACCUUCGGGGGACGUUAACGGCGUCCAGCGGCGGACGGGUGAGUAAUGCCUAGGAAAUUGCCCUGAUGUGGGGGAUAACCAUUGGAAACGAUGGCUAAUACCGCAUGAUGCCUACGGGCCAAAGAGGGGGACCUUCGGGCCUCUCGCGUCAGGAUAUGCCUAGGUGGGGUUAGCUAGUUGGUGAGGUAAGGGCUCACCAAGGCGACGAUCCCUAGCUGGUCUGAGAGGAUGAUCAGCCACACUGGAACUGAGACACGGUCCAGACUCCUACGGGAGGCAGCAGUGGGGAAUAUUGCACAAUGGGCGCAAGCCUGAUGCAGCCAUGCCGCGUGUGUGAAGAAGGCCUUCGGGUUGUAAAGCACUUUCAGUCGUGAGGAAGGUUUAUGCGUUAAUAGCGUAUAGAUUUGACGUUAGCGACAGAAGAAGCACCGGCUAACUCCGUGCCAGCAGCCGCGGUAAUACGGAGGGUGCGAGCGUUAAUCGGAAUUACUGGGCGUAAAGCGCGUGCAGGUGGUUUGUUAAGUCAGAUGUGAAAGCCCGGGGCUCAACCUCGGAAUAGCAUUUGAAACUGGCAGACUAGAGUACUGUAGA